GCUUGCCAUGUGUCACCGCUGGAGGAUUUUAAUCUUGGCCGGUGAUUGGCUAUCUCCACUUGGAAAACACUAUGUUGUUUCAUGAAAAGGAAAGUGGGAUGGAGGGGAAGAUCGACCUAUGUACUAUCCCUUCCCCUCAAUAGAUUUUAUUUGCUGAAAUCUAGCUUAAAAUAUGUGACUUAAUUAUAUGUACACUGCCUCUUGAUUUUUUGACUUUUCUAUGCAAGCUAUUAUUUUCUAAAUAGAUGAGUUAUUUAUAGGAGGCUUUUUGAGACAAUCGUUGAUGGGAGCAGCUGCUAAUGAAUUUUAUUUG
Molecule: long non-coding RNA, 313 nt
Organism: Lolium rigidum
Lineage: Eukaryota; Viridiplantae; Streptophyta; Magnoliopsida; Poales; Poaceae
Exons: 3
Source: RefSeq, a predicted model, not a curated record